RNAcentral lists this ribosomal RNA (2940 nucleotides) under Bacillus sp. Root239. RNAcentral's name for it is "bacterial LSU rRNA". It matches the Rfam family "Bacterial large subunit ribosomal RNA". The record is from RNAcentral. Lineage: Bacteria; Bacillati; Bacillota; Bacilli; Caryophanales; Bacillaceae.
AUGGUUAAGUUAGAAAGGGCGCACGGUGAAUGCCUUGGCACUAGGAGCCGAUGAAGGACGGGACUAACACCGAUAUGCUUCGGGGAGCUGUAAGUGAGCUUUGAUCCGGAGAUUUCCGAAUGGGGAAACCCACUGUUCGUAAUGGAACAGUAUCUUUAUCUGAAUACAUAGGAUAUUGAAGGCAGACCCGGGGAACUGAAACAUCUAAGUACCCGGAGGAAGAGAAAGCAAAUGCGAUUUCCUGAGUAGCGGCGAGCGAAACGGAAUUAGCCCAAACCAAGAGGCUUGCCUCUUGGGGUUGUAGGACACUCUAUACGGAGUUACAAAGGAACGAAGUAAAUGAAGCGACCUGGAAAGGUCCGUCRAAGAAGGUAACAACCCUGUAGUUGAAACUUCGUUCYCUCUUGAGUGGAUCCUGAGUACGGCGGAACACGUGAAAUUCCGUCGGAAGCUGGGAGGACCAUCUCCCAAGGCUAAAUACUACCUAGUGACCGAUAGUGAACCAGUACCGUGAGGGAAAGGUGAAAAGCACCCCGGAAGGGGAGUGAAAGAGAUCCUGAAACCGUGUGCCUACAAGUAGUCAGAGCCCGUUAAYGGGUGAUGGCGUGCCUUUUGUAGAAUGAACCGGCGAGUUACGAUCCCAUGCAAGGUUAAGCUGAUAAGGCGGAGCCGUAGCGAAAGCGAGUCUGAAUAGGGCGUUUAGUAUGUGGUUGUAGACCCGAAACCAGGUGAUCUACCCAUGUCCAGGGUGAAGUUCAGGUAACACUGAAUGGAGGCCCGAACCCACGCACGUUGAAAAGUGCGGGGAUGAGGUGUGGGUAGCGGAGAAAUUCCAAUCGAACCUGGAGAUAGCUGGUUCUCUCCGAAAUAGCUUUAGGGCUAGCCUCAUGUUGURAGAGUCUUGGAGGUAGAGCACUGAUUGGACUAGGGGCCCCCAACGGGUUACCGAAUUCAGUCAAACUCCGAAUGCCAAAGACUUAUCCAUGGGAGUCAGACUGCGAGUGAUAAGAUCCGUAGUCAAAAGGGAAACAGCCCAGACCACCAGCUAAGGUCCCCAAGUAUACGUUAAGUGGAAAAGGAUGUGGAGUUGCUUAGACAACCAGGAUGUUGGCUUAGAAGCAGCCACCAUUUAAAGAGUGCGUAAUAGCUCACUGGUCGAGUGACUCUGCGCCGAAAAUGUACCGGGGCUAAACGUAUCACCGAAGCUGUGGAUUGACAUCUUUGAUGUCAGUGGUAGGAGAGCGUUCUAAGUGCWGYGAAGUCAGACCGUAAGGACUGGUGGAGCGCUUAGAAGUGAGAAUGCCGGUAUGAGUAGCGAAAGACAAGUGAGAAUCUUGUCCACCGAAUGCCUAAGGUUUCCUGAGGAAGGCUCGUCCGCUCAGGGUUAGUCGGGACCUAAGCCGAGGCUGAAAAGCGUAGGCGAUGGCCAACAGGUUGAUAUUCCUGUACCACCUCCCCGCCGUUUGAGUAAUGGGGGGACGCAGUAGGAUAGGGUAAGCGCGCUGCUGGAUAUGCGCGUUCAAGCAGUUAGGCUGAUGAGUAGGCAAAUCCGCUCAUCAUAAAGGCUGAGCUGUGAUGACGAGGGAAUUAUAGUACCGAAGUUCCUGAUUCCACACUGCCAAGAAAAGCCUCUAGCGAGGCGGGAGGUGCCCGUACCGCAAACCGACACAGGUAGGCGAGGAGAGAAUCCUAAGGUGAUCGAGAGAACUCUCGUUAAGGAACUCGGCAAAAUGACCCCGUAACUUCGGGAGAAGGGGUGCUCUGGUAGGGUGUAUAGCCCGAGAGAGCCGCAGUGAAUAGGCCCAGGCGACUGUUUAGCAAAAACACAGGUCUCUGCGAAGCCGCAAGGCGAAGUAUAGGGGCUGACGCCUGCCCGGUGCUGGAAGGUUAAGAGGAGGGGUUAUCCUUUGGGAGAAGCUCUGAAUCGAAGCCCCAGUAAACGGCGGCCGUAACUAUAACGGUCCUAAGGUAGCGAAAUUCCUUGUCGGGUAAGUUCCGACCCGCACGAAAGGCGUAACGAUCUGGGCACUGUCUCAACGAGAGACUCGGUGAAAUUAUAGUACCUGUGAAGAUGCAGGUUACCCGCGACAGGACGGAAAGACCCCGUGGAGCUUUACUGUAGCCUGAUAUUGAAUUUUGGUACAGCUUGUACAGGAUAGGUAGGAGCCUGAGAAGCCGGAGCGCUAGCUUCGGUGGAGGCGUCGGUGGGAUACUACCCUGGCUGUAUUGAAAUUCUAACCCGCGGCCCUGAUCGGGCCGGGAGACAGUGUCAGGUGGGCAGUUUGACUGGGGCGGUCGCCUCCUAAAAUGUAACGGAGGCGCCCAAAGGUUCCCUCAGAAUGGUUGGAAAUCAUUCGUAGAGUGUAAAGGCACAAGGGAGCUUGACUGCGAGACCUACAAGUCGAGCAGGGACGAAAGUCGGGCUUAGUGAUCCGGUGGUUCCGCAUGGAAGGGCCAUCGCUCAACGGAUAAAAGCUACCCCGGGGAUAACAGGCUUAUCUCCCCCAAGAGUCCACAUCGACGGGGAGGUUUGGCACCUCGAUGUCGGCUCAUCGCAUCCUGGGGCUGUAGUCGGUCCCAAGGGUUGGGCUGUUCGCCCAUUAAAGCGGUACGCGAGCUGGGUUCAGAACGUCGUGAGACAGUUCGGUCCCUAUCCGUCGUGGGCGUAGGAAAUUUGAGAGGAGCUGUCCUUAGUACGAGAGGACCGGGAUGGACACACCGCUGGUGUACCAGUUGUCUUGCCAAAGGCAUCGCUGGGUAGCUAUGUGUGGACGGGAUAAGUGCUGAAAGCAUCUAAGCAUGAAGCCCCCCUCAAGAUGAGAUUUCCCAUAGCGCAAGCUAGUAAGAUCCCUGAAAGAUGAUCAGGUUGAUAGGUCAGAGGUGGAAGCGUGGCGACAUGUGUAGCUGACUGAUACUAAUCGAUCGAGGACUUAACCAAAC